CCUACGGGUGGCAUCAGUGAGGACUAUUGGUCAAUGGGCGGAAGCCUGAACCAGCCAAGUCGCGUGCAGGAUGACGGCCCUACGGGUUGUAAACUGCUUCUAUACGGGAGUAACGCGCCUUACGUGUAGGGCUUUGCAUGUACCGUAUGAACAAGGAAAGGCUAAUUCCUGUCCAGCAGCCGCGGUACUACGGUAGGACCGGUCGUUAUCCGGAUUUAAUGGGUUGAACGGGAGCGCCGGCCGCAUGUCAAGCGUGCUGUGAAAUGUCCGGGCUCAACCCGGGCCUUGCAGCGCGAACUGGCGUGCUUGAGUCCGCGGAAGGCAGGCGGAAUUCGACGUGUAGCGGUGAAAUGCGUAGAGA
This 361-nucleotide ribosomal RNA is filed under the name uncultured bacterium. Its description in RNAcentral is "partial 16S ribosomal RNA". It matches the Rfam family "Bacterial small subunit ribosomal RNA", at positions 338 to 696 of the family's 1533-position model. The record is from RNAcentral.